Molecule: long non-coding RNA, 204 nt
Filed under: Piliocolobus tephrosceles (Ugandan red Colobus)
Lineage: Eukaryota; Metazoa; Chordata; Mammalia; Primates; Cercopithecidae
Description: ZFAT antisense RNA 1 conserved region 2 (ENSPTEG00000028178.1)
Rfam family: ZFAT antisense RNA 1 conserved region 2
Source: RNAcentral
CAGCAGCUGUUCCUUCCCUUUCCCCCAACAUGUAUUUCCCCAGAUGCCAUUCUACAUGCUCACACUUAAGAGAUAAGCCUCUCAGUAGGAAGAUUCGUAACCACAGAAAGUUGAAAAGAGAAACCUCUUAAAUGCUGGUUUAUUAAGAAGAAUGAAGGCAGAUGAGACUGCGGCCAAAGAUCUCUGCGCACCUUCCUCACACUC